UACGUAGGCAGCAAGCGUUGUUCGGAGUUACUGGGCGUAAAGGGUGCGUAGGCGGCUGUUCAAGUUUGGUGUGAAAUCUCCCGGCUCAACCGGGAGGGUGCGCCGAAUACUGAGCGGCUAGAGUGCGGGAGAGGAAAGUGGAAUUCCUGGUGUAGCGGUGAAAUGCGUAGAUAUCAGGAGGAACACCGGUGGUGUAAACGGCUUUCUGGACCGUAACUGACGCUGAGGCACGAAAGCGUGGGUAGCAAACAGG
This 253-nucleotide ribosomal RNA is filed under the name uncultured bacterium. RNAcentral's name for it is "partial 16S ribosomal RNA". It matches the Rfam family "Bacterial small subunit ribosomal RNA", at positions 524 to 776 of the family's 1533-position model. The record is from RNAcentral.